Non-coding RNA from Triticum aestivum (bread wheat), 136 nucleotides. The record is from Rfam. Lineage: Eukaryota; Viridiplantae; Streptophyta; Magnoliopsida; Poales; Poaceae.
CAUAUACUUCCUCCGUCCGAAAAUACUUGUCAUCAAAAUAGAUUAAAAAAAUAUGUAUUUAGAACUAAAAUACGUCUAGAUAUAUCUCCUUUUAUCCAUUUUAAUGACAAGUAUUUCCGGAUGGAGGGAGUAUUAU